AACGAACGCUGGCGGCAUGCCUAACACGUGCAAGUCGAACGAGACCUUCGGGUCUAGUGGCGCACGGGUGCGUAACGCGUGGGAACCUGCCCUUAGGUUCGGAAUAACUCCCCGAAAGGGGUGCUAAUACCGGAUAAUGUCUUCGGGCCAAAGAUUUAUCGCCUUUGGAUGGGCCCGCGUUGGAUUAGCUAGUUGGUAGGGUAAAAGCCUACCAAGGCGACGAUCCAUAGCUGGUCUGAGAGGAUGAUCAGCCACACUGGGACUGAGACACGGCCCAGACUCCUACGGGAGGCAGCAGUGGGGAAUAUUGGACAAUGGGCGAAAGCCUGAUCCAGCAAUGCCGCGUGAGUGAUGAAGGCCUUAGGGUUGUAAAGCUUUUUUACCCGGGAUGAUAAUGACAGUACCGGGAGAAUAAGCUCCGGCUAACUCCGUG
RNAcentral lists this ribosomal RNA (433 nucleotides) under uncultured bacterium. RNAcentral describes it as "partial 16S ribosomal RNA". It matches the Rfam family "Bacterial small subunit ribosomal RNA", at positions 29 to 507 of the family's 1533-position model. The record is from RNAcentral.